Molecule: non-coding RNA, 899 nt
Organism: Pelobates cultripes (western spadefoot toad)
Lineage: Eukaryota; Metazoa; Chordata; Amphibia; Anura; Pelobatidae
Source: the annotation of a GenBank genome assembly
CCCUCUCUGACAAGCCAUACCAUUCUGUGGAGUGCCUGAUGGACACUGGAGCAGCCUGCAGUGUUCUCAAAAUAUCAGAAGCCACAAAUUUGGAAAUUUCUGGACAAAUUGAUGCUAUAGAACUAGCAGGUAAAACCAUCAUGCUGAAGGAGACUGUAGAAACUCCUGUGACUAUAGGUCCAGUUGAGACCUCCCUCUCCUUUGUCCUCAGUGACACCGUCUCCUGCAAUUUGCUGGGAAGAGAUGCACUGAUGAAACUAAAGACGAACAUCUAAUAUACAGAGGAUGAACUGGUUGUCACUACAUUAGUGGGAUCAGAAGACCACAACACAUUGUGAUCACCCUAAUGGCAAUUCGCAUCCUUCCAGAGCAGGAUAUUCCACCUGACCUGAAAGAUGUCCCUCUAGAACUUUGGGCUAUAAAAGGUGGUCCACUGGGCCUGAUAAAACAAGCAGACCCAGUGGUCAUUAAGCUCAGACCUGGAGCUAAAUUGCCCAGGAUUCCUCAGUAUCCCCUCCGCAUGAAACAAUUAAAUGAUGUAAGAGAACAAAUUAAAAAUGUUGUGAAUCAGGGGAUCCUGACUCCCACACAAUCACCUGUAAAUACAUCCUUGUGGCCUGUGGCUAAGCCUGGGAGACUGGGGCAGUUCCGCCUGAUUCAUGAUUUGCGGGCAGUAAAUAAAAUCAUUCAAGAGGAUUCCCCACUUGUCCAAAAUCCCCCCACUAUUCUAGGAGAAAUUCCUUUGGACGCCUCCUGGUUUGGUGUGAUAGAUUUGGUAGACGCUUCCUUUUGUGUCCCUGUACAUCCUGACUCUCAGUACCUGUUUGCCUUCAAUUUUGAGGGACAGCCGUAUGCUUGGACAAUUUAUGUGACUGUGCAUUUAUAUUUAAGGAUAUGAG